RNAcentral lists this ribosomal RNA (253 nucleotides) under uncultured bacterium. Its description in RNAcentral is "partial 16S ribosomal RNA". It matches the Rfam family "Bacterial small subunit ribosomal RNA", at positions 524 to 776 of the family's 1533-position model. The record is from RNAcentral.
UACGUAGGGGGCAAGCGUUGUCCGGAAUCAUUGGGCGUAAAGAGCGUGUAGGCGGCCCGAUAAGUCCGCUGUGAAAGUCCAGGGCUCAACCCUGGGAUGCCGGUGGAUACUGUCGGGCUCGAGUCCGGAAGAGGAGUGUGGAAUUCCUGGUGUAGCGGUGAAAUGCGCAGAUAUCAGGAGGAACACCAAUGGCGAAGGCGACUACCUGGCCUGUUCUUGACGCUGAGGCGCGAAAGCUAGGGGAGCAAACGGG